This 304-nucleotide ribosomal RNA is filed under the name uncultured bacterium. RNAcentral's name for it is "partial 16S ribosomal RNA". It matches the Rfam family "Bacterial small subunit ribosomal RNA", at positions 506 to 807 of the family's 1533-position model. The record is from RNAcentral.
CAGCAGUCGCCACGGUAACACGAAGGGGGCUAGCGUUGCUCGGAAUGACUGGGCGUAAAGGGCGCGUAGGCGGCGAUCAAAGUCAGGCGUGAAAUUCCUGGGCUCAACCUGGGGGCCGCGCUUGAUACUUGGUUGCUUGAGUGGGGAAGAGGGUCAUGGAAUUCCCAGUGUAGAGGUGAAAUUCGUAGAUAUUGGGAAGAACACCGGUGGCGAAGGCGGCGACCUGGUCCUUGACUGACGCUGAGGCGCGAAAGCGUGGGGAGCAAACAGGAUUAGAUACCCGAGUAGUCCCUGUCUCUUAUAC